RNAcentral lists this long non-coding RNA (342 nucleotides) under Callithrix jacchus (white-tufted-ear marmoset). Its description in RNAcentral is "lncRNA (ENSCJAG00000058288.2)". The record is from RNAcentral. Lineage: Eukaryota; Metazoa; Chordata; Mammalia; Primates; Cebidae.
UCUUCUUUGUGAUUACAAGUAUACCUCUACAGUAAGUUAGUAUACUCACACAGAAGAUAAUUUUUCGGAGGAAAAGGCCAACUGUGGAAACUCCCAGAAACACAAUAGGGAUAGGCAUCCACAGAACACCAAGAAGGUCAUGCCCAGGAUACAAAUAAUCAAGUAGAAACCUGAUCACCUGACUUCUGGUCUUUCCCACCAGCUCCCUGUCCACUCCAGAAGUUACCCAGCUGCAGGUGGGGGUCUUAGCCCCUGGGUCUGACACCGUCCCUUUGCCUUUUUCACUGGGCUUCUCUCCUUGCACUGGCUCCUACUCCCCCAGGACCUGGCAGGAGACCGUAU